RNAcentral lists this long non-coding RNA (1275 nucleotides) under Numida meleagris (helmeted guineafowl). RNAcentral describes it as "lncRNA (ENSNMEG00000019746.1)". The record is from RNAcentral. Lineage: Eukaryota; Metazoa; Chordata; Aves; Galliformes; Numididae.
CUUUCCCACAAUGAAUAAAAUCCAUCUUCUUGCACUGUUUGUCCACUUCUUCACCCAAGGGUAACAAAAUAACCCGGAAAGCAGGAACACCCUGUCCGUGAACCCGGCUGGAAAAUAAAUAAAUAUAAAUCCAUACAUUCGUAAAUAAAUACACAGAAAAAAAAAAAAGAGGGAUGACUCGGAGGGUUCCCAGGAAAACCAGCUGUGUCUAACACAGCGACCACGGACACACGAGCCCCAGAGCUCCUAAUUCCUCAGCUAUUGCUCAGCAGUGAGUCAGAAGCCGUCGCUGGGUGACUCACAGGGGCUCCAAAAUGCAGCUGAGCUCGUGUCCCUGGGCAGGCAGGCUGCAGGGGAUCUGAGUGGGCAGGGAGGCAGUGUCCCAGCAGCUGGCUGUGCUUGUAGGGUGGCGGGCAGGCUGGGGGCACCCCACGCUCCAGUGACAGCUGCUGGUCUACAGGCUGCCACGGCAGAGGUGACGGCACAUUCAGUUCUCUGAAGGUACUUUGCUUAUGUAUGUCGUCUUCUUUUCCACCCUCCUUCCAGCACACACACGUUUCUCUCUUCACCUGAUUUAAAAAUUCAGCUACGGAGAUUUCCCUGCUUGAGAUACAGCACCUAAGGAGGAGCUGGCUGUCAGCUGAAGCCCUUCUCUGACUGCAUGGAAAUCCUGAUUUAAAUCCGCACUGAAAGAGGCAGACAGCUUCCACAAGAGCUAUUCCCUAUGCUGCUGGGUGCAGCGAUCCUGGGAUCCAUCUCUUUUGCUAUCAGCUUUGGCCAUGAAGUUUUUAAGAUUCCAAGGGAGUGCCUCCUUGUUGAAGAAGCACUCCCUCCAGUCUUUGCUGCUUGCAGAUUUCUCCGUGCUGUGAUGAAUUGCUUUGCUCAGCCCAGGAAAAUGAACAUAUUCAUCAGCAUUUCACGUGCCAAUAUGGGUAACAGUGGUAGUCUGAGCUCCCUAGGGACGGACCUUUGCCUUGCUGGAUCCUUCCUUCCUAUUCUGCAUUAAACUCAACGUGUCCUAACAUCAGACCCAAAGGUUUUUUGCAAGAUUACCUUGGAGGUUACAGAACCGACUGAAGACUUGAAGAACAGAUGGAAGCUUUGCAGACUUUUGAAUUGCCAAAGAAGGGUGCUUAAUGAAAAAGUAUUGCCAAAAAAAGGUUGUUUAAUGAGAAAACCAGCAACAUUUUCUGCUGUACUUACAUAAAGAGUGUGUUUUUAUGGUCCACAAUGUAAGAAAUCUGACCCUUUUUUCUUUUAUUACUACAUAGGACA